Rosa chinensis is the source of this 1490-nucleotide long non-coding RNA. RefSeq lists it as uncharacterized. The record is from RefSeq and is a predicted model, not a curated record. Lineage: Eukaryota; Viridiplantae; Streptophyta; Magnoliopsida; Rosales; Rosaceae. The transcript has 3 exons.
UAAUUAAGUUCUAUUUCAUCAUUUCAUGAGCAAAGCCAAACAAACUGAUAAUCAGAGUUCAAACAAACUGAUCGAUCAGCUUUUCUUGUUGGGUUGUAAGGUAUGAUGCACUUGAUAAAUUCUUGGGUCUUGCUUGGCUUUUUGGAAUUCUGCCAAAGUUUGUGUGUUUUUGGUUGGUUCUGGGUUUUGAUGGCUUUGGAGUUGAUAUGGCUUUAAAGGUGGUGUUUUUAAUUAUGAGCUUUUUGGGAAACCCAUGUGGGUUUUUGGUUGUUGUCCUAAUUACUGACUCACUGUUCUCGUUUUGAUGAUGGAGCCUAGUAUAUUAUUUUGGAUUGUUCAAAAUGUUGAUGAUGAUUUGAAGAUAUGUGCUGAAUUUUCGUUUUUGAUGCAAAUAAGAUUAUGUCUCUGACUUGUGUUUGGCUAUGUACAUAAGAAGAAUCAGAGCAUUUUGAGGUUUUUUUCUUCUUCUUUUUUUUUUUUCACGAGGAGUAAUGAAGUUGAUGAGCGCGUGUAUCUCAUAUCCCAAGUAAUAUUUGUUAUGGUAUGAAAUGGUGGACAUGCUAAUCCUCCUAGAGUUGUAUGAUUAAAGUUCAGCAAAUGAACUAAGUGCUUUACUAACCAGUAAAUAACAAGAGUACAUUGUCAUUCACAUUGCUUUAGUAUUGAUAGAACUGAGCACAUUGUCAUUCACAUUGCUUUAGUAUUGAUAGAACUUACAUUCUAACGUCAUUUUCUAUAACGAAAGCUAAAGGCCUAAAGCUAACCUUUCAAUCCACGUUGUGACGUUGAUAGGAACUGUUGUGGUUUUUAGAUUGUUAAUUGAAUGCUGCAAUUUCCCCACUCCAUUAUCAAUUAGCAUGAAGCAGAUAGUUCAGCUUGUCAUGGUAGUUCCUGGAAUGGUAUGGUAGUAGAAACAGAUUGUUUGGAGGCUGUGAGGAUGGUAAAUGGAAGUGAUGAAUGUCAUGUCUUGCAUGUGAGGGUGUCCCGCAGGAGCGAAUCAGGGAGAUUUUGACCGCUUUGGAUAUUCAUCAUAUUCAUCAUGUUCCAAGGGCGGCUAACAAGGCCGCUCAUACUGUUGCAGGAGUUGUAACCUGAGGUAAUUAAUGGGCGGAGUAGUUGGUUAGGGGUUGGACCUCCUUGGCUCAUGGAUGUCAUCGUUAAUGACGGACCCGUUACUGGUUCGAUUUCUAGGAAGGAGAGUGGGGAGUUCAUGUCCACCACCAGUCAGUUCCAUGCUUUGUAAUCUUGAUAAUCUUUGGCGUUUUUGGCCUGCAAGAUGUUCUUAUUGCUUGAAUAUCAGAAGACGCCAAGGAGUGGUUUCUAAAGCUGAUCUGGUUGUCAUUGGAAUCUUUGUUGGUGUAGCCCAUGGAAUUUUGAUAGCUGCACUCAUAUUUUUCAGAAUAAAGAAUUGGCUUAGGCACAAGCAUCGACUUUAGUGUAUCUCUUUCAACUAGCAUACCUAUUCAAGGAUCUGAUCGAGCAAAAAAGUU